GGGCAAUGUCCCGAGCUGGCUCCACUUCCGCCGGUGAAAGGUGGCCGGUACCCCUCCGUGGUUAGGAGGCUCUGGGCCUGGAGUCCCGCAUGGAAGGAGGGCGCUUCCGCACUUACGGGAGCCCAGAAACUUCUGCAGCCUUUCUGCGUUGGCCUUUCCUCCCUGCGCAGCCUAGGGGGAGGAGUCUACUCUGGAUUUUGGUCGGCCUAUGACUGAGCUGACAAAAAGGAUGCAUCAGAAGUCAGCUGUGCACAUCUGGCCUGGCCUUUGGAAUAACUUUCAGCUUCCACCUGAGAAAGCACACUGAAAGACCUCCAGACUACCACAUGGGAAGGAAAAGUUACCAAGCUGAUUCAAGUCUUUCUUUCAUCUCAGGAAAAAUUGCACUGGUACCACAUUGCAUCUUCAGUCCAUAUUUCAGGGAUGUGAAACUCUGAGGAGCUGCGACAGCCUGACCC
Microtus ochrogaster (prairie vole) is the source of this 458-nucleotide long non-coding RNA. RefSeq lists it as uncharacterized. The transcript has 3 exons. Lineage: Eukaryota; Metazoa; Chordata; Mammalia; Rodentia; Cricetidae. The record is from RefSeq and is a predicted model, not a curated record.